This 2877-nucleotide long non-coding RNA is filed under the name Capsicum annuum. RNAcentral describes it as "long non-coding RNA (CANN_LNC016050)". The record is from RNAcentral. Lineage: Eukaryota; Viridiplantae; Streptophyta; Magnoliopsida; Solanales; Solanaceae.
AAAGUAAAAAAUUUAGGCCCUUGGGCCCAAACCAAAGAAACCUGUCCUAGUUUAAAUGGGCUUUUGGCCCGUUUAGCCUGUCCUAAUCUAGUUUUUGAGUCUUUGACUCGAGUCUCACUCAGCCUGUAUUAAAUAUAACUUUGACUUCGAGGCCCAAAUGAACGAAUAAAUAAAUAAACAAAUAAAAUAAAAUAAAGACUACAAUAAGUAAAUAAAUAAAAUAACAAAUGAGACUUUUGAGACUCUGAGCUACUUUGCCAAUGGGUUCCAACCCAUUUUCUUUUUCUUCUAUCUUCUUGUAUCCCUGUGCUACGAGGUUGGCAUUGAAUUUACUCCUUCGAGACUGACUCGGGAUUAAAUGGGUCUCAAUGGGCAUGCAAAGGAAAAGGGGAGUCCAAGUAGGACCCGAGCGUAUCCAUAUGCGAAAGAAAAAGAAAAAUAAACUAGUUAAUACAUGUUCAAAGAUCAGUACUUGAAGACCAAUAGUGCCAUUAAAGAGCAUUUUCGCACACAAGGAUAAUUGUAAACCAUGAUAUGAAGCGGUGCAAUUUAUCUAAUGAAAAGAUGAUUAACCUAUCCCUUGAACAAGUUCAAGAAUUGAAUCGAAUGCAACUUGAUAAAUUAAUCCAAACAAGUUCAAUAAUUUAGAUCGAAUGUAAUAUGAUUAACCAAUUUUUGUAGAGAGGCAUAGGAUGUCUAAAACAGUAAGGGAAUCUACACCUUAUGGCAAAAAGUAUGCGUGUUUACAAGAUUAGCUCACAAAUGAAUCAUCAAAAUGGUAUGCAUUUACGAAAACUGGUCAUAUUUGAUGUGUACAUACUAUUCUGCCACAUGAGAAUUCUAAAAGUAUUUGUAAACAAGUUCAAGAAUUUGUAUGAUUCACUUUCCAGAGAGCACGAUGCACAUACACAAAAUUUAAAUCAUUGAAAAUUACUACACCACAACAUAUCAAUAGGGGAACCUUUUCUAUAAUAUAGGUCAUAAACCCAUCAAACUGUACUCACACAGUAAAGAAAAAUGUAGUGAAAACAUUUCAAGAUUCAACAUAACACUUGGUUCAUCCUCGUCUUCUCUCGAUAAGUCUUUAAGACUUUGGGUCGAUACGUGUCAUUGAAUGGUCACGGGAUGAUUGAGAAUCAAUAUGACAUAUCACUUAUAUUUUCCUAGCAUUUUUUGUCAAUAAAGCCUAAAAAAAAGUUUCUAACUGACCGCGAAAAUCAAAAGGCAAACAGGAGACCAAGCAUGGAAAAGGAAAAACACCAACAACAUCAAACUAAGGCCAUAGAUGUGAAAUAAAACAAGUAAUAUUCAACUAAAUCACUAGCAAGUCAGACCACAAUAUUCUAGUGUAGCCAUGACAUACUAGAAACUAAGACAUUUUCUACGCUGCAGCGUUUUUGCAAAUAGGAUUAUACAUAGAUUAAGAUAUUUAGGCAUUAGACUCAAGGUCAAAACGAUGAGGAAUAAGUCAAAGAGACUGCCUUCAACAUUCAUUAAAUAAUCUGAGGCUUAGACUUUCACCACAGAUAUUGUUAAAUCAUGAUAACGAACUAGACAAGACAAGGUCCGGAUUCAGCGAUAUGUAUAUACGCUACUUUAUAAUAUAAAAAUGAUGGCUAAUCAACACAAUCUACACGAAAUAAGAAGCUUAAAGUCCGCCAAAUUGAAAACUACGACGUAACACUGAUUCAGCGAAAUAGCAUAACCACAACGAUCACAAAAAAGUCCUAAGGCCAUCAACGGUUUCUACAACAACAAAUCCCAGCCUCAUUCAUGAUUACGAUUAGGCAACCAAAUGAUUCUACGCGGAAAAGGGAUGAAGGAGAAAUUGAUGAAAUUAAAAAGGGCGAGGGCGUGUUUACCUCCUCUGGGGUAGCAAAAUGGGAUAACGAGCUAACAUCAAGAUGCGCCACCACCGGAUAUGUGCGUUAUCAAUUCAGGAAUAGGAACCUCCGAUUAGUCGACCAAAUUUCAAAAAGAUGAACGAAAGAAAGAAUUUUUUUACUGAACGAAACUGUUUUCUCUCCAAAUUUUCUUCCCCUUUUUUCUUGACCUAGCCUUCUCAGAAAGUUUUCCCAAACCCCCAAAUUUUCAAACCCCCUUCCUCCUGGUUCUGUCUUCCUUUUAUAGGGAAAACUUAGGCUCCCCCUUGAUUGCUCAAUCGAUGUGGGAAAAAUAAAGUUAGGGAUUGCCCAUUGAGAUAUUUUGUAAAUUUAAAUUGAAAAAUCCUCCCACAGCUUGGGUUUCAACAACAAUUAGUACCAAUUUUUGGAUUUCUUGAGAGAAAAUGCAAUGGGUGGACCAAUAUAAUUUGGGAAAAACAAAUUGUACCCCUAAACCAAUGAAAAUCAACCAACUAUGUACGAAAUCAUACAAAUCAAUCCAAAAAACUCACGAUUCAAACAUUGGAGGGGGCCAAUGCAUUAAUUUCAUUAGCUUCUAGACCCUUAUCGUACGGAUUCCUGUGGGACGCGUGAAGAAGACUAAAAACGGGUUGGUUUGGGUUGAAAACGAGUUGGUCAUGGCUAUUUUCGGCUGGUCAGUUUUCGAUUGCAGUUGUUGGUGGAAACAGAUUAUGCUGUUAUAUGCGACAUUGUUACUAUUUGUUUUGUGUUGUACGUUAGUUGAUGGAGGAGAGAGGGUAGGGGAUUGGGCUAGACCAGGUCAUUGUUGAUUUUAAAAAGGAUGUGGGCUUUUGUUGCUUAUUUUGUUAAUGCAGAAAAGAAAAAUGAAUGAGCCUGGGCAGGUUUUUGGCUGGUGGGCUACCAAUUAUUGUUAAAUUGGGGUAAUAAUUAGGUUUUAAUUGGGGUUAUUGAAUAACCCUAAUUAAAUUUAAUUGGAUUAGAAUAGCCAUAACUAAAUUUAAUUGGAUUAAAA